GCCGAGGUAGCUCAGGGGUAGAGCAGUGGACUGAAAAUCCUCGUGUCGGUGGUUCAAAUCCGCCCCUCGGCA
Molecule: transfer RNA, 72 nt
Filed under: Chloroflexota bacterium
Lineage: Bacteria; Bacillati; Chloroflexota
Also listed under: 2 other names
Description: tRNA-Phe
Rfam family: tRNA
About the family: Transfer RNA (tRNA) molecules are approximately 80 nucleotides in length.
Source: RNAcentral